UACGUAGGGACCAAGCGUUGUUCGGAUUUACUGGGCGUAAAGGGCGCGUAGGCGGCAAUUCAAGUCAUCUGUGAAAUCUCCGGGCUUAACUCGGAACGGUCAGAUGAUACUGCUUUGCUAGAGUGCGGAAGGGGCAAUCGGAAUUCUUGGUGUAGCGGUGAAAUGCGUAGAUAUCAAGAGGAACACCUGAGGUGAAGACGGGUUGCUGGGCCGACACUGACGCUGAGUGCGCGAAAGCCAGGGGAGCAAACGGG
Molecule: ribosomal RNA, 254 nt
Filed under: uncultured bacterium
Lineage: Bacteria
Description: partial 16S ribosomal RNA
Rfam family: Bacterial small subunit ribosomal RNA
Source: RNAcentral